AUGAUCGCAGCAACGUCCGAGGUUCAAAAAUAGCCACGCAGUCGUCUGGCCUCUAUCGGUAUCCACUCAAGAAGGAUCUGGAUCAUCUUCUCCUUGCAAAUCUCUACUCCAAAAAUUAGAUUUGGAUCUGAUCUGAAAGAUCUUUAAAAGAUCUUCUGAAGCUGGAGCAGCAGCUUCUCUAUAAAUCCCUGCAACCUUCUGUUCAGAGAGCCACC
This 215-nucleotide long non-coding RNA is filed under the name Elaeis guineensis (African oil palm). RNAcentral describes it as "long non-coding RNA (EGUI_LNC081863)". Lineage: Eukaryota; Viridiplantae; Streptophyta; Magnoliopsida; Arecales; Arecaceae. The record is from RNAcentral.